This is a long non-coding RNA of Peromyscus leucopus (white-footed mouse), 447 nucleotides long. RefSeq lists it as uncharacterized. The record is from RefSeq and is a predicted model, not a curated record. The transcript is spliced from 3 exons. Lineage: Eukaryota; Metazoa; Chordata; Mammalia; Rodentia; Cricetidae.
CCGCGCCUCUCUAGCCCCUCGCUUCCUGCUCAGCAGCGCCUGCGAGUGCCCUCAGUAGCCAUUAUUCACUGGCCGCCGGGGGACAGGAGAUGGCUUUCCUGGUUGUUCCUUGGUGUGUCCUCCACUGACAGGUUGGUGCCUGUGAACACAACUGGGGGAAUCUUCCAGUGUUUCAAGCCUAGGAAGGACAACCCAUGGCUGCCGUGAAGAGAUUCAGUGUGGGGCCAGGGAAGCUGAAAGCAGGGCUAACGGGACUGGUUGAGCAGCUAACAGAGCUUCUGUGAUCUGCUGUCCAUGCUGAACCCAGAGCAGCUUCACACCCGGGCAUGGGAACCUAUCCCUUAGGAACCAUCAGCCAAAGCCUUCAUGAUGCCCCUCCCACCUGUUAAUUACCUUCCUGCCAUCUGUAACUUCAUCAUGCCAAAGAGGUCUCUUCUCAUCCAUUAA